AACGAACGCUGGCGGCAGGCCUAACACAUGCAAGUCGAGCGAGGACUUCGGUCCUAGCGGCGGACGGGUGAGUAACGCGUGGGAACGUGCCCUUUGCUUCGGAAUAGCCCUGGGAAACUGGGAGUAAUACCGGAUGAGCCCUUUGGGGGAAAGAUUUAUCGGCGAAGGAUCGGCCCGCGUUGGAUUAGGUAGUUGGUGGGGUAAUGGCCUACCAAGCCGACGAUCCAUAGCUGGUUUGAGAGGAUGAUCUGCCACACUGGGACUGAGACACGGCCCAGACUCCUACGGGAGGCAGCAGUGGGGAAUCUUAGACAAUGGGGGAAACCCUGAUCUAGCCAUGCCGCGUGAGCGAUGAAGGCCUUAGGGUUGUAAAGCUCUUUCAGCUGGGAAGAUAAUGACGGUACCAGCAGAAGAAGCCCCGGCUAACUCCGUG
RNAcentral lists this ribosomal RNA (433 nucleotides) under uncultured bacterium. RNAcentral describes it as "partial 16S ribosomal RNA". It matches the Rfam family "Bacterial small subunit ribosomal RNA", at positions 29 to 507 of the family's 1533-position model. The record is from RNAcentral.